AUGUGGGCUCCCCCUGACACGAGCUCUGGCAUUGGCUCUCUGUGCCCCGGAGGGUGGGCACGAGCCCAGACUCCCCGCCCCAAGCCAGCUGUCCUCACAGGGACCAUGCUGGCAGUCAGGAUGUCACUCCUCAGGAGGAACCUUCCAGAAGCUCUCCUCCAUUCUGUUUCUAUUCCAUUUCUGGGCUGCUGGAUGUUGGACGACAUUAGCCUUGGAGGUGGAAGCAGACCUUCCUCUCUGAGAUAUUUACAAAAUGAGUAUAAUUCUCAAAACCUCCAGUGGUGUCUAGCCAGGACGAAUUCAGAGAUAAGCAGUUCAGGGAACCCCUUGGCAGUGGCUGCUUCACUUCCGGUGAAGAAACACCAAGGGCUCCACAAUGUAAGUAGGAGCCACAAAAUGGCUACCUGUGGCUGUUUCUCCACUUCCUGGAUGUGGAAACUGAGGCACAAGGGAGCCCAGCUUCAUGGCAGAGAGGCAGGCUUAGACUAAUUUGUCCAGGAGGAAUACUGAAACAGCAACAUUUAAUGUUUUAGUAACCAUUCAUAGUUUCUUUCUUUGUUUCUUUGUUUCUUUCGGUCUUGGUCUGGAGGUUUUUUGGUUUUUUUUUUUUUUUUAUGGGUAUGGGAUGUUAUUUUGUUUUGUGACAGAGUCCCAUGUAUCCAGUCUGGACGUCAGUCAACACACCAAGAAGCUGAGAACUGAACAUCUGGACCCCUGGUCUUCCUGCCUCAGCCUCCUCCCACUCCCUAGCCCCCCAUCUCCCCCACCUCUACAAGUAAGCAUCACCAUGCCUGCCUCUAGCACCUACCUUUUAAAACAUAAAACUUAGAUCUUUUUCAAAGUAAGGCCAGCAAGGUGGCUCAGUAGGAAAAGCCACCAAGUAUGACAACCUGAGUUCCACCCUGAGAACAGGUAGACAGAACCAAAUCUGUGAGCUGUCUCCAGAUCUCCACGCACAUACCAAGACAUGCACAAACACAUACGCAGACUCACACACUAAAUAAACAAGAAUUUCAUCAUUUUUUAAUUUUAAAUUUAAAAUAUUUCAAAUGUUUUUAAUUAAGUAAAAAAAU
This 1073-nucleotide long non-coding RNA is filed under the name Rattus norvegicus (Norway rat). Its description in RNAcentral is "long non-coding RNA NONRATT031669". Lineage: Eukaryota; Metazoa; Chordata; Mammalia; Rodentia; Muridae. The record is from RNAcentral.